Long non-coding RNA from Bradysia coprophila, 179 nucleotides. The record is from RefSeq and is a predicted model, not a curated record. Lineage: Eukaryota; Metazoa; Arthropoda; Insecta; Diptera; Sciaridae.
AAGUUUCGUUAAAUAUUUCGUUCAUUCAGUCACUUGCAUGAAUUUGUUUUACCGUGGAUGACAUUUCAAACGUCCUUGAAGAUGAUCUAUUACACUUGACAGAUGAUCUGGAUUUAGCUGUCAAUUUUAAACAUGUCAGGCAGCAAUGCCUAUUUUUAAAAAAAAAAAAAGCCAAGUCA